GACGAACGCUGGCGGCGUGCUUAACACAUGCAAGUCGAACGGAAAGGCCCUGCUUGCAGGGUACUCGAGUGGCGAACGGGUGAGUAACACGUGGGUGAUCUGCCCUGCACUUCGGGAUAAGCCUGGGAAACUGGGUCUAAUACCGGAUAGGAGCCAUUUUUAGUGUGAUGGUUGGAAAGUUUUUUCGGUGUAGGAUGAGCUCGCGGCCUAUCAGCUUGUUGGUGGGGUAAUGGCCUACCAAGGCGGCGACGGGUAGCCGGCCUGAGAGGGUGGACGGCCACAUUGGGACUGAGAGACGGCCCAGACUCCUACGGGAGGCAGCAGUGGGGAAGAUUGCACAAUGGGCGCAAGCCUGAUGCAGCGACGCCGCGGGGGGGAUGACGGCCUUCGGGUUGUAAACUCCUUUCGCUAGGGACGAAGCUUUUUGUGACGGUACCUAGAUAAGAAGCACCGGCUAACUACGUG
Molecule: ribosomal RNA, 465 nt
Filed under: uncultured bacterium
Lineage: Bacteria
Description: partial 16S ribosomal RNA
Rfam family: Bacterial small subunit ribosomal RNA
Source: RNAcentral